This 454-nucleotide ribosomal RNA is filed under the name uncultured bacterium. RNAcentral's name for it is "bacterial SSU rRNA". It matches the Rfam family "Bacterial small subunit ribosomal RNA", at positions 340 to 786 of the family's 1533-position model. The record is from RNAcentral.
UACGGAAGGCAGCAGUGGGGAAUAUUGCACAAUGGGCGAAAGCCUGAUGCAGCUAUGCCGCGUGUAUGAAGAAGGCCUUAGGGUUGUAAAGUACUUUCAUCGGGGAGGAAAAACAAAACUAAUAAUUUUAUUUCUUGACGUUACCCGAAAAAGAAGCACCGGCUAACUCCGUGCCAGCAGCCGCGGUAAUACGGAGGGUGCUAGCGUUAAUCAAAAUUACUGGGCGUAAAGAGCACGUAGGUGGUUUUUUUAAGUCAGAUGUGAAAUCCCUGGGCUUAACCUGGAACUGCAUUUUGAAACUGAAAUACUAGAGUAUCGUAGAGGGAGGUAGAAUUCUAGGUGUAGCGGUGAAAUGCGUAGAUAUCUGGAGGAAUACCUGUGGCGAAAGCGGCCUCCUAAACGAAUACUGACACUGAGGUGCGAAAGCGUGGGGAGCAAACAGGGAUUAGAUACC